RNAcentral lists this long non-coding RNA (2382 nucleotides) under Nicotiana benthamiana. RNAcentral's name for it is "long non-coding RNA (NBEN_LNC041987)". Lineage: Eukaryota; Viridiplantae; Streptophyta; Magnoliopsida; Solanales; Solanaceae. The record is from RNAcentral.
CCCACCCCAAACCAAAAAGAAUAAAAAACCAUCACCAACCAAAAAAAAUCUCAUGUGAAUCGAAAUCUCUCAUUAUCUAAGUUUAUAUGAUGACGCACGUCUAUGAACACAUUAUAUUCAAUUUUAAUUUCAAUGAUGGAGGGGCCAUGCAAGGACUUAGAAUCUUACUUCUUUUUCUUCUUUCUUAAUAUUUUCCCCGCUAAUUAUAUUAUAAUUUUGGUUGAAAUAAUAGACUACGUACGUCUAUUCUGUUGAACGCUUGAUAAAUGAUCUCUAUUUUCUUAGUCACAAGCUAUAGACAUGUAGACUUGUAUAAUUAUUACAAUGAAUUUUGUACAUAAUUGUUGGUCUUAAAAAUAUCUUAUUUUACUAAUUUGAGUCAAAAUCGGAAAAUGAGGUCGACCGGGGACCAUGUGCCAUUUGGUGGUGUUGUGGAAAAUUGGAGGGGAAAAAAAUCACAUUAUGUUUUGCUAUAAUUUUAAAUCCAAAUAUCACUAAGCUUUUUCUACUUUUUUUGUUUUCUUGCUUUAAAAUAACUUGGGGUCAUUGACAAGGUUUACACGUGAGUGAGACACCUUUACAAUCAUACAAGUAUUAAAAAGCAUAAAAUAAUGUUUUGGUGGAGACUCCAAAGCUUUGUCUUUGUCCACAAAAGUCCUCUAUACGCAGCUUCCUUGUAUCUUUCUCACAUUGUAAAGCUAAUUCCUUAAAAAUUACUUUAUCGUUCAUUACUUUUUCUUCAUUGUGGUUCUUUCUCUUUUAGUACUGGCUAUACCUCAAUUGCUUUUUAUCCUUAUCCCUUUCACUUUUUGGUCUAAAAUUAUCAUUUGAGCUAGGAUAUAUAUAUUUCAUCACAUGUUUGGAUAUGGAGUAUUGUGUCUCUUGGCCACAGCUAUCGAGUAGGACCUUCUCUACUUUUAUGUGAAUUAAAUCAUGUGAAGAAAUUUCAUAUUGAAAAAAAAAAGAUCUAUAAUUAAAUUUUAGUAUAUCUUAUUGACUGGCAAAAUCUUAUGAAGAUAGAAACAAAUAGAAUUGCAAGCUUUAGUACAAUUACUGCAGUUUGGAUAUAGAACCUUAAUUAAAAGUCAAUUAACAUAUUCCAAGAGAUGUCCUUUUAGUAAUUUCAUAAAAGUCUAACUAUAAUAUGAAGAAAAGUUUUUCAAGUCAUUCGUGACUAAAGGUCCUUUUAUAUAAGAUAGACGAGAAAGCUCAUUCAUUAAUUUUUACUAGAGUAAUUUUGGGUUUUUUAUAUGUAUUUUACUAUUUUAGCAUAAGAAAGUUUCUACCUUCCAAUUCUUCUACCUUACCAGAAAAUUCGAGAAUUAACAUAUUAUUCUAGUGUCUCAUAAAUUAGAGUUCCGUCCAUAUAUUUAUUAGAUAUAUUUAUUUGUUAAAAUAAAAAAUGUAGUGUGCUUGAUAUUUUCAGGCUGUUCCACUGUUCUUAUCAGAGAUAGCACCUACAAGAAUUCGCGGAGGACUUAACAUUUUGUUCCAACUUAACGUAACUAUUGGCAUUCUUUUCGCUAGUCUCGUCAACUACGGAACAGCCAAGUAAGUUCCUCACAUUCUCCGAUCUUUCUUUUGUUUAGAAUAAGACUAUAAUAUAUUGCAUAAAUUAGAUAAUUAAGGAGGUUUAUCCUUUAUUUUAUUAACCUCUGAAAUUAGUUGUGUGAGACUCUUGUGGAUUCCAAUCUUGCAUUUUUUGGUCCAUAAAAAUCUAGGCCCACACAACCGUAAGACAAAAGAGAACAUAAUAAAAUUUUCCUACACCUUCAGUCCCUAUAUGUUACUGUCAAAAGAGUUCAAGUCGAGGCUUAGUAUCAUGGAUUUGAUUUUAAUGUGUCAGAAAAAUGAACGUCUCGUCCACAUCUUUGAAUCUUUGCUUAACGACUAUUUUGUUUAAUUUUCUUCCUUUACUAUGGAUCACUCAUGUUUUGACACUUCCUCUUUUAUGAUAUUUCAUGUACUUGUCUUUAGUCUUUGUUUGUAACUAACUACUUUAGACUCUAGCCGACAGUUCCAUCCGCUCGGCUGGAGUUGAUUUCAACUGAAAAUUACCUCAACUAUGAUGGGAAAUAUAAUUAAGAAUACAUUUUAUUUAAAAUUUGUUCUACUAAAUGCAAUUUUUUUUCAUUUGAGUUGUCUGUCAAGCCAGAAAUAAUUCCUUAUGUCCAAAUUAAUUAGUACCUAUAUAUUGAAAAGAAUGGACCUUGGGCCUAACUCACCCAAGGUCCAUUCUUUUCAUGGUAUCAGAGCCAGGCUCAUCCCAAUUAUUGUUAUCGAUGUUGCAUAAGAAAGUUUCUACCUUCCAAUUCUUCUACCUUACCAGAAAAUUCGAGAAUUAACAUAUUAUUCUAGUGUCUCAUAAAUUAGAGUUCCGUC